GUACAUGCCCACAACAUAAUGUUAAUGCAUAGGAUCCCAUUAAAACUCCGCAAUUAAGCACACUUAGGAUAGAGUAGUACUAGGAUUGGUGACCACCCGGAAAGUUGUAGUGUUUUAUAUG
Molecule: non-coding RNA, 121 nt
Organism: Picea glauca (white spruce)
Lineage: Eukaryota; Viridiplantae; Streptophyta; Pinopsida; Pinales; Pinaceae
Source: Rfam